RNAcentral lists this unclassified non-coding RNA (433 nucleotides) under soil metagenome. RNAcentral describes it as "partial contains 5.8S ribosomal RNA, internal transcribed spacer 2, and large subunit ribosomal RNA". The stretch from base 1 to 120 matches the Rfam family "5.8S ribosomal RNA", at positions 35 to 154 of the family's 154-position model. The record is from RNAcentral.
GAUGAAGAACGUAGCGAAAUGCGAUACGUAAUGUGAAUUGCAGAAUUCAGUGAAUCAUCGAAUCUUUGAACGCAUAUUGCGCUCUCUGGUAUUCCGGAGAGCAUGCUUGUUUGAGUAUCAGUAAACACCUCAACUUCCAUAUCUUUUUUGAAAUGGGAGUUGGACUUGAGUGAUCCCAACGCUUUUCCUCACCGAAAAGUGGCGGGUUACUUGAAAUGCAGGUGCAGCUGGACUUUUCUCUGAGCUAUAAGCAUAUCUAUAUAGUCUGCCUAAAAAACAGAUUAUUACCUUUGCUGCAGCUAACAUAAAGGAGAUUAGUUCUUGUGCUGACUGAUGCAGGAUUCACAAAGACAGGCUUCGGCCGACUUUGUAAACUCGAUCUCAAAUCAAGUAAGACUACCCGCUGAACUUAAGCAUAUCAAUAAGCGGAGGA